CCCUUAGAUGUUCUGGGCCGCACGCGCGCUACACUGACUGGUGCAACAAGUGUCGCUCCUUGGCCGAUAGGCCUGGGCAAUCUUUGAACGCCAGUCGUGAUGGGGAUAGAUUCUUGCAAUUUUUGAUCUUCAACGAGGAAUGCCUAGUAAGCGCAAGUCAUCAGCUUGCGUUGAUUACGUCCCUGCCCUUUGUACACACCGCCCGUCGCUCCUACCGAUUGAAUGGUCCGGUGAAGCGUUCGGACCGUGGCCUUUGGACGGUUCGCCGUCUGUUGGCUGCGGGAAGUUCGUUAAACCUUAUCAUUUAGAGGAAGGAGAAGUCGUAACA
RNAcentral lists this ribosomal RNA (328 nucleotides) under uncultured eukaryote. RNAcentral describes it as "partial 18S ribosomal RNA". It matches the Rfam family "Eukaryotic small subunit ribosomal RNA", at positions 1470 to 1796 of the family's 1831-position model. The record is from RNAcentral.